This 4839-nucleotide long non-coding RNA is filed under the name Heterocephalus glaber (naked mole-rat). RNAcentral's name for it is "lncRNA (ENSHGLG00000037647.1)". Lineage: Eukaryota; Metazoa; Chordata; Mammalia; Rodentia; Bathyergidae. The record is from RNAcentral.
CUGAAGUCUUUUGGUCUGUUUUUUCUCUCUUGGCCAGUUUCAGUAGGAAUGUUAUUCAUGUUUGUUGCUUAUGAAAAUGUCACUUCAUACUUCCAAAUCAAAACAAUGGAAAAAUAGACGGCACUGUUUUCUUCAGAGUUUCCCAAACAUUUGAGGUAUUUGCUUUCUUUGUGUUGAGAAGAGGAAGGCUGGAGUAUGUAAGUCUUAUCUGUCUCUCUAAGCGUUUUAGAAGAGAGAGAUCUGUGCUGUGUGUUUAAAUAUAGCAUGGUGUUUGCUACUGAGAUGACGAAUAAGCAAUUGAAUAUGUAGGUCAUUGACUUAUGAGAAUGAGUUCGGAGUUUUUCUUGCAUCUGAUUUAACAACUGUCUUACAAUUGGGCUGUUGAUGCUAUGCCCAAAUUGGGUUACACAGAGUUCAGUGAGCCAUCUGGGAGGAAACUGGGAGAAGCUACAGAAGAUACCUUUGCCCCCUUAACGUGUUGGGAGUAUGGCUUGGUUUUGAGCCCUGUGAUUACAGCCAGCAUCAGUGGCACUAGCUGCUCCAGGUUGUCCUGGGAGAGACACCUCCUGCUGCACUUCUGAGCAAAUCCAUCCCAAGGGAGGGGGAAAGGCCCAUACUUAAAUCGAGAUAAAUGCCAGCGGUGUAUUUUAAUACAUUCUUGAUUCAGAACGCACUGUUUGGAAUUGCAUAUUUAAAAGGAAACUGCCAUCCCCUUUUGAAGGUAUGUGACAUUUAAAAUAUCUGUAGCAGAAGAUUGGUUUGACAGCUUCAAAUUAUAUUUGAAAGAGUUUUUCUUUUAAAAAAGAAAAUGAUUACUUCUAUUUUAAAUGUCAUCACAAAGACAUAAACAUGUUUAAUCAAAUUAUAUAUUUAAUUUAUGUAGAAUAUAAUUUCUAUUCGUGUGGAAGAUGCACUGGUUAUUUUUUCCCCAGCUCUGAAGCUGAGCAGUGUUGGUGGUUGGAAAGCGGCUCAGUUCUUUGAGUAAAUGGCCAUUUAAGGGUUUAUAGAACCAGAAAAAUAGUAUUAUUAUUGAAUUUUUUUUUUAUCUGUGCACAUCACAGUGCAUUUGGGGGAGGGGGAGGUAUUUUCAUUAUCAUUGCUGGGAGAUAGUAAGGAUAAACUGUGGAACGAACUGAAAAAAGUAUGGCCCUGAAGACAAUAAAAGCAGAAAUGGGGAAGAUAUUUCUGCAGUUUUCUUCUUUUGGAUUCUUUGAAUCAGUGGGGAGUGACUGGGAGUUCGAGCAGUGCCAGCUCUCCUUAAAAGGGAGGCCACGGGGGAUCUAGGAAGACACACACGGUGCCUCGGAAGACCUUCCGCCUGGUCCAAAAGGCUGAUGUGGAGUCUUCGGGCACCAGCCAGGCUCCCGGGCUCCUGAUGAAGCAGGGUGUAGCUGUAGGUCUGCUCUGGGGCAGGCAGCUCUCUUGACCCUGGUGAUCUGCUAGGACACGCCAACUCCAGAACUUUCUUUGAGCGAGCUGGAUGUUGGAAGCUGGCCAGCUCAGCGUACAACUGUGUGUGUCAGCCUGGGCGGUCAUGGCCUAUUCCAGCCUGCUGCCUGCAGUUUCAAUUCAGCCAGGCUGUGUCAGGGAGCCCUAGAGAGUUGUGCCCACCAGUGUGGUCCACUCACCCAGUACAAAGCUGCCCUGGGGCUGCUUUUUUCUCCUCCCCCUCCCCUAAGGCUGCUCUACCAGGGAAGGUGCCCCUGUCGGAUACAGCCUGGGAGCCCUGGGCAGGCAACAGCUGGGGGAGAGAGAGCCAGCCAGCCAGCCAGCCAGCCGUGCCUGUUCCCAGGAAAGAACUGACGUAGGAGGCAUCUUUGCCAGCUCCAGCAGAGAAGGUCAGGGUUCAGCGUUCUGCUGUGCCCCAGGGAGUCGGAGGACACCAAUCCCAGUCCAUGGCCUAGGUAGCAUCAACAGGGCCAGCUCCCCGUGGGUCCACCUAAGCAUCAGUCCACCAGAGAAACGAAUUGCCCUACUUAUUAGCAUGAACCAAACUAUAGAAACCAAAAAAAUUGGACAGACCUAUUGGCUGUUUAUAUGUUCUCAUUUUGAAAUAAACAUAGAUCCACAUGCAGUUGGAAGAAAAGUAAUACAGGGACAUCCCAGUGGGAAGAUCCUGUAAAAUUAUGGUAACAGUAACCUAGAAAUUGACAUUGAUAAAAUCCACUGAUACUAUUCUCAUUUCCCCUUUGUUGCCUGGACACAUUUGAGCGUGUGUUCUGUACAGUUUUAUCAUACAUGUAGAUUCCUAGUUAGCCACUUCAAGAAUAUCCCCGUUGUCCUUUCACAAGACAUAUCCCCUUUAGGUGGCCAGGACAGCCUCUGGCUGACAUACACUGUUAUACAUGGGGUAAUUGGCUUCCAAGACCCAGCUCACUGAUAGAAAGUUCUGGAGUUGGAUUUUUGUCUUGAUCCCAGUCCUGAGCCUGACAGCUAAUCUUUUUCCAUUUCUUAAUUUUGUCAUUUAAGAAUGUUCAGUAAAUAGAAUCAUACUGUGUGUAACCUUUGAGGAUUGAUUUUCCUCACCUUAAUUCCUUUUGCAGUUCACUGAAGUUUCAUGUGUCAUUCAUUUGUUUCUGUGUAUUUAUUAUGAUCAGUGUUCUAUAUCAAAGAUUUCUCAACCAGUCUCGUACUGGAAUUCUGGGUAAGAGGAAACCCUUCAUAAAGACCUGAGAGUUAGGCCAUUUUUUGUUUGCUGUCUUGCAGGACUGGACAUUUUUAUAGCCCUCAUGUAGCUUGUCCCAUUUCUCUGCACCUGUCUCAGCAGAUGUCAGUGGGGGGUUGUUUGCAUCAUGAUGGUUUGGUUGUGUUUUGAAACUAGCAGAUGAGCCCCUUGUGAGUUUUUGUUAUUGUUUUCGCUUUUUCUGAGACAAGGUCUCACUAUAUAGUACAGGUUAGCCUAGAACUCAAGAUCCUCCUGCAUCAGCCUCUCCUGAGUGCUGGGCUUAUAGGUGUGUACCAACAUACCUGCUCCCCUUGAGAGUUUUGUUCAUCUGUGUUGUGUGUUUUUGCACAGUGCAUGUUGACUGAACUAUGUGAAGAAACAAAACUUUGGACAGAGCAUUUUUGAGUCUCGGUGUUUUGCCUGUUAGCAGUCAUGCUCUGAGAAUAACAUGUAGGGUGUGGGCCUGAUGCACUAAACAGGCAUAGGCUGUGCCGUCAUGGUUCUUUGGCAGAAGUCUGUACACUGCCAUGGCUUUGGCAGGCCUGAGUGAGAACUGUAAAAUUACAAGUCCUGAGAAUGUAAUUUCACAGUGAAUAUUUGAGCUGUCAUUCUUUGAGAAAGCACCUUGCACUGCAUUCUGAAGAGUCCAUACAUGUGUGUUGUUUACAUGUUCACCAUGUGUGUGAGGAUGGCACGUAUGAAUUAAUGCUGUCAUGGACAGCCACACAAAAAGGUUGCCUAUACCUUCAAAACUAAUGAAAUGCAAGUAAUUACAUAGUGUGCAGGUUAGUCCAGGACUCUCAGUGUUAGUUACUGCUGUACAUGAAUCAAUAGAUGUUUAUAUGCUCUGUGCGUUCUUCAGGGGUUCUGCAGCUUGCUUUUUGCUGAAUUGAGAUGUAAGUGCAGACAGUGCUGUGCUGUCUGCUCUUUUUGUACUUGGUUGAUGAAAGGACUAGAAAGUCCACUUGCUGGUGCUUGGGAUUGGUUCUCUGGCUGAGUGGGCCAUGGGCCAGUCCAGCAUAUUUGGCUUUUCUCUCCCUGCGCCAGGUGCUUCUCGGUAGCAACUGUGGCACUGUGUCGGAGCCAUCACAACUGGGUGGUCUCAGCCCACUGGUCCCAUGUAAAGGGAUGUCUAUCCUGUUGUAGUAUCAGGAGCUGCUGGGGGUUUAUUCCACUGUGAAGUGUUGCUGACUGUGUUGGGUGGGGAGUAGAAAGGACCUUGUUAAAACAGUUUUCUUUGUUGCUGAAGGCCUGGGUGAACUGAGCUUUGGUUUGCCUAUUUCUUUUCUUUCUUCUUUUUUUUGUUUUUGUUUUUGAGACAGGGUCUCACUAUGUAUCCCAGGCUGGCCUUGAACUUGGGGCAAUCCUCCUGCCUCAGCUCCCUGAGUGCUAGGAUUACAGGCUUGCACCACCGUGCCUGACCCUGGUUUCCCCAUUUUUGGAUGCUUGAAUUUCCCUUCAUUUAGCUCUCAGGGGACUUCAUUGAAAUCUUGUGUUUGCAAUUUUUUGGGUGCUGACCUCUGUGGUAUACCUGGCCUUGAAAAUGAGUUUCUAAGAAGUACAAUUUUUUUUCUUAAAGUUAGGAAAUUAGAAAUAGUGUCUGUACCUGUGUUUUUGUUUUGUUUCCUGGUACUGGGAAUCGAACUCAGGACCUUGCACUUGCCAGUCAGGCACAGUGCCGUUGAGCUACAUCCCCAGACCUGUGGAAUAGUAUCCAUAUUAACUUAGCCUAGAGCCUGCUGAGAGGUCCACCUUUCCACAUCCCCCAGGAUAUCUGAGUGCGCCUGUCUGGCCCCCAGGAAUCCCCACAGUGCCUCUCACCCUUGCCACUCUCUCAGGUUGGUUGGCCGUUGCAGUUUGAACUUCUGCAUUGAUAUUCUAAGGGGGACAUCUUGUUUUGAGGGAAGAGGGACACUUCAAAACAUGCCUUGGAAGUGCAGCUAUUACUCAGCAACUUGCAUCUUCACUGGAGCCUCUUUGUAAAAUUGCUGUGGUGUGUCUGGGAAGCAAAGCAGAAGCAGCCCAGGCAGUGCCCUGCCUGACCUAGGAGCCCCACAACCUUGUGCCCAUUGUAGGACAGCAUGCUCUGUGUAGAACAUGGAAAAAUACAGGAAAGUAUGAAGAAAAUUAAAGAUAUGUUGUAUCUUUUAAAAAUCAUCUUAAUCUUAUCUUGG